Molecule: ribosomal RNA, 1505 nt
Filed under: metagenome
Description: bacterial LSU rRNA
Rfam family: Bacterial large subunit ribosomal RNA
Source: RNAcentral
CCCUGUACCGCUAAUGCAUGAUAAAGACAUUAAGGAGGGACGCAAGAGGUUAGUUUGGCUGGCGGAUGGAAAUGCCAGUUUAAGCAAGUAGGAAGGCUUUGUAGUAAAAUGCGCAGAGUUAAUUCAGAGAUGUGAUGACGAGGGGCUACGGCCCUGAAGUAAAUGAUACCAAAUUGCCAGGAAAAGCUUCGUAAUGGAUGUAUUAGUGCCCGUACCUCAAACCGACACAGGUAGACAGGUAGAGAAUACUAAGGUGCGCGAGAUAACUCUCGUUAAGGAACACGGCAAAAUAACCUCGUAACUUCGGAAGAAGAGGUACAGUAGUAAGGUGAAGGGAGAGACUCCCGGAGCUUGAGGCUGUUGCAACGGAGAGUCCCAAGCAACUGUUUAACAAAAACACAGGUCUCUGCUAACCCGAAAGGGGAAGUAUAGGGGCUGACACCUGCCCAGUGCUGGAAGGUUAACAGGAGAUGUCAUCGCAAGAGAAGCAUUGAAUCGAAGCCCCAGUGAACGGCGGCCGUAACUAUAACGGUCCUAAGGUAGCGAAAUUCCUUGUCAGGUAAGUUCUGACCCGCACGAAAGGUGUAAUGAUUUGGGAACUGUCUCAACGAGAGACUCGGCGAAAUUGGAUUAGCUGUGAAGAUACGGCUUACUCAUACCAGGACAGAAAGACCCCAUGGAGCUUUACUGUAGCUUGUCAUUGAUUUUGGGAUAUUCAUGUGCAGGAUAGGUGGGAGACUAUGAGAUGUAGACGUCAGUUUACAAGGAGUCGCCGGUGAGAUACCACUCUUGAAAGUUUUAGAAUCUAACCUCAGCCCGUGAACCGGGUGGGGGACAGUGGCUGGUAGGCAGUUUGACUGGGGCGGUCGCCUCCUAAAGAGUAACGGAGGCGCCCAAAGGUUCCCUCAGGCUGGAUGGAAAUCAGCCAAAGAGUGUAAAGGCAUAAGGGAGCUUGACUGUGAGACCAACAAGUCGAGCAGGUAGGAAACUAGGGCUUAGUGAUCCGACGGUUAGUGCGUGGAAGCGCCGUCGCUCAACGGAUAAAAGUUACCCUGGGGAUAACAGGCUGAUCUCCCCCAAGAGUCCACAUCGACGGGGAGGUUUGGCACCUCGAUGUCGGCUCGUCGCAACCUGGAGCGGUAGUACGUUCCAAGGGUUGGGCUGUUCGCCCAUUAAAGCGGUACGUGAGCUGGGUUCAGAACGUCGUGAGACAGUUCGGUCCAUAUCCGGUAUGAGCGGAAGAAAAUUGAGAGGAUUCGUCUUUAGUACGAGAGGACCGAGACGAACCGACCUCCGGUGUACGAGUGGUUCUGCCAAGAGCCGAUGCUCGGUAGCUGAGUCGGGAGCGGAUAAGCGCUGAAAGCAUAUAAGUGCGAAGCCCACCUCAAGAUGAGUUUUCUCACUGAGAAAUCAGGUAAGAUCCCCCGAAGAUAAUGGGGUAGAUAGGCUACAGAUGUAGAAGCAGCGAUGCUAAGUCGAGUAGUACUAAUAGAUCGAGGGUUUGC